Molecule: ribosomal RNA, 254 nt
Filed under: uncultured bacterium
Lineage: Bacteria
Description: partial 16S ribosomal RNA
Rfam family: Bacterial small subunit ribosomal RNA
Source: RNAcentral
UACGGAGGGUGCAAGCGUUAUCCGGAUUUACUGGGUUUAAAGGGUGUGUAGGCGGGCUUUUAAGUCAGUGGUGAAAUCUCCGGGCUCAACCCGGAAACUGCCAUUGAUACUAUUAGUCUUGAAUUUUUGUUGAGGUAGGCGGAAUAAGUCAUGUAGCGGUGAAAUGCUUAGAUAUGACUUAGAACACCAAUUGCGAAGGCAGCUUGCUAAACAAACAUUGACGCUGAGGCACGAAAGCGUGGGGAUCAAACAGG